This 773-nucleotide ribosomal RNA is filed under the name uncultured Neocallimastigales. Its description in RNAcentral is "partial large subunit ribosomal RNA". It matches the Rfam family "Eukaryotic large subunit ribosomal RNA", at positions 23 to 645 of the family's 3401-position model. Lineage: Eukaryota; Fungi; Neocallimastigomycota; Neocallimastigomycetes; Neocallimastigales. The record is from RNAcentral.
AGAGAGAGACAUGCGCGCAUAUCAAUAAGCGGAGGAAAAGAAACUAACUAGGAUUCCCUCAGUAACGGCGAGUGAAGCGGGAAGAGCUCAAAUUUGAAAUCUUCAAGGGUUCUACCUUUACGAAUUGUAGUUUAAAGAAGUGUUUUCUGUUGAGGUUUUGGUAAAAGUUCUUUGGAAUAGGACAUCAUAGAGGGUGAGAAUCCCGUAUUUGACCAUUAUUUCCAGCUUUGUGAUACACUUUCAAAGAGUCGGAUUGUUUGGGAAUGCAGUCCAAAAUGGGUGGUAAAUUUCAUCUAAAGCUAAAUACUGGCGAGAGACCGAUAGCGAACAAGUACCGUGAGGGAAAGAUGAAAAGAACUUUGAAAAGAGAGUUAAACAGUACGUGAAAUUGUCAAAAGGGAAGCGUUUGACACCAGUGUUGUUUUCUCGAAAAUCAAUUAAAAAAGGCAGGAUUUUGUGUUGUACUGACUUUAUCAGCUUUCUGCACUCUUUUCUUGUCUUUUUUAAUGCACUUUUCGUUUAACAAGUCAACAUCAAUUUCUUUUGUUGUAAAAGGGUCAUUGGAAGGUGGCUUUCUUUUCGGAGAAAGUGUUUAUAGCCUUUGGCCUCUGCAAUCGGAGAGAUUGAGGUCUGCAGCGUAGAUCCUUCGGGUUAGAUACAUUUGUGCUAAGUUAUAGCCUUUCAUAGACAACUUGUUGACUAUGAUCAGUCAUGUAGCUUACUCGCUUAUGCUAUUUUACCUACGCUUAGGAUGUUGAUGUGAUACUGCGAGC